RNAcentral lists this transfer RNA (70 nucleotides) under Pteria penguin. Its description in RNAcentral is "tRNA-Ala". The record is from RNAcentral. Lineage: Eukaryota; Metazoa; Mollusca; Bivalvia; Pterioida; Pteriidae.
GGCUCCAUACUUUAAGCUAAAAGGUGUGAUUUGCAUUCAUAGAAUAAGGCGUUUGCAGCCUUUGGAGCCA